AGCGUAGACGGAGUGGCAAGUCUGAUGUGAAAACCCGGGGCUCAACCCCGGGACUGCAUUGGAAACUGUCAAUCUAGAGUACCGGAGAGGUAAGCGGAAUUCCUAGUGUAGCGGUGAAAUGCGUAGAUAUUAGGAGGAACACCAGUGGCGAAGGCGGCCUGCUGGACUGUUACUGACACUGAGGCACGAAAGCGUGGGGAGCAAACA
RNAcentral lists this ribosomal RNA (207 nucleotides) under uncultured bacterium. RNAcentral's name for it is "partial 16S ribosomal RNA". It matches the Rfam family "Bacterial small subunit ribosomal RNA", at positions 568 to 774 of the family's 1533-position model. The record is from RNAcentral.